Molecule: long non-coding RNA, 236 nt
Organism: Episyrphus balteatus (marmalade hoverfly)
Lineage: Eukaryota; Metazoa; Arthropoda; Insecta; Diptera; Syrphidae
Exons: 2
Source: RefSeq, a predicted model, not a curated record
UAAAUCUACUUGGCUGAAUGAUUCCAUGCUCUAAUAAAAUGAAAAGAACAUGCCUAAUUUUGUGAACGCACUCAUUGUCAAAUGUCAUUUUUUUUGUCAAGCAAAAUUGAAUUAAAAUUUAUAAAACACAGCCCGGACGGAAACAUUGUUAAUAAAUAUGCUGACCAAGAAACAAAACAGAAAGUCGUGGCGGCAAGAAGAAGAGGAUCUCUUGGUGGAAAUUUGGGCCGGCAAAA